CUCUCUUUUCUUAUUCUUCUUUUAAUUUUUCUCUCUAACAUUCUUCCAAAUCAAUUCCACAGAUUUUCGAUUCAAUAUAUUAAUAUUUUCUACUAUUCUCAUUUAAUUUCGUUGCAAGAUUUGAUUUGAAGAUUAACAAUGAUUUGGGUUCCGCUUCUAAGGAGGAUAUACGACGGAGAAAAAUGCCUGAAUCCGUCGAUGUGCAAAAUCCCACACAAAUUCAUAACCAUGAAGUUGAAGAAGACCAAUUUGUUGGAGAAGAGGUUUUUUUUACAUGUUCUGCGUCUUGCAUGUUAGUUUAAUUUGUUUAGUAAUUUUUAAGAUUAAAAAAAGUUCAUGUUACAAUGCGUUUGGAAGUGUAUAUGGAAUUUUUAUUGUGUUAUAGUUAGUAUUUAUUUUUAUAUUUCAUA
This is a non-coding RNA of Solanum lycopersicum (tomato), 410 nucleotides long. Lineage: Eukaryota; Viridiplantae; Streptophyta; Magnoliopsida; Solanales; Solanaceae. The record is from RefSeq and is a predicted model, not a curated record.